AGCGAAGGGAGUUCUUCAAAUCCGCCUAGACUAGAAAGCUUUUCACAGAAACUUAAAUUAAGAAUCUUCAGUGUUCCAAGCAGCCUUUUGUCUUUUGAGCACGAUCCAAAUAACCACUGAAUUGGAUAUAAGUUAGAAUUCUAGUAAUUUUCAUCAACUGAACAUGGAAGAAUAAUAAAUGGAUAUUAGUUACCUUUUGCCAAUUCUGAAGUCGUGUAUUGCUAUAACAAACACCAAAUGAUUCAAUAUUGCUGUAUGACAUGUCAAGAGAAACCAAA
RNAcentral lists this long non-coding RNA (278 nucleotides) under Lactuca sativa (garden lettuce). RNAcentral's name for it is "long non-coding RNA (LSAT_LNC000411)". The record is from RNAcentral. Lineage: Eukaryota; Viridiplantae; Streptophyta; Magnoliopsida; Asterales; Asteraceae.